UGUACAAAUCAUCCCUUCAAGGGCUGCGCCUGGAUGAACCUUGGUUUGCUGGCUGAAUGGGGCUGGAUUUCCCUUUUGCUUCCUCUUUGCCCAUGCCUCGGGGUGGCCUUCUUUCGGAAGAGGGCUGCCUGCGCUGCUUGGCUCAAACUUUUGGUACAUUGAAGUGGACCGAGGACCCCACAGGUUUUCACCUGACUCGGAACAGGACAGCUUUUGCUGAGCCUCAGGGGUGGCUCCUCCUGAUGGCUGUAUUAGGCUAUGCCUCUGGGUACCCGUUGCCAUGGGAACCUCAGUGGGAGAAAGAUCCUGCACUCCUCUCCGGCUUGUCAGCUUCCUGUGAGCAUCUGAGAGGCUUCCUUUUCCCAUACGAACCCCCUGUAUUUGAUGGAUGGGCCUUUCUCUCACCGUAUUCCAGCCUAGAGAGACUCCUGGGGUUGCCCUCGGAAUUGGGGCCUUCUCUGGCGCAGCACCCACCAUGCAAAACAGUCUUGCCAACCCGCCUUCAGGACUUGGUCCUUCAAACAUGCAAGUCUGCGAUGCUACUGGGUCACAGCACCAUUUGGCUACGGGGCACGUGAGUAAACCCAUGUCCUUGGCCCCAACGUGGCACUACACCUGAGCAGGGACAUGUCUGCCUGAGACUCGAGCGUUGAAUAUUUCUGUCAGAGGAAGAUCUCUCCAUUUCCCUAGGCAUUUUUUCUGAUAUGUUUCCCUUUCCCUUCCUUAAUUAUCCAUGGUUUUAAACAGAGCUUCUUGUUUUUAAUUAGUUUGGUCUGUUCAGUUACACGUUUUGUCGGGUGUUGUUGUUUUUUUAAAACUCAACCCCCUAAACAAGACUUCAAAGUGGAAAACAUUGCAGAAGCGGUCUGAGGAUGAACACAGCCAGAUCAGUCUCUGUGGAAACAGGAUGCGUGGCUACCUGAGCGUGUGGUCCGACCCAGCUUUGAGGGGUGUGUGUCUUAGGUUCUUCUCUGUGAGGCCAUCAAAGAAUUUGUGGACUACACUCUUCAGCCGAUCUGUAGCCACUCGGGAGAGAUGCAGGAGGCCAAUUCUGGACUCCCAUCCCAUCCCCAACCCACUACGAAAUGUUCCAGGCUGUAUAAUGUUCAUCGCAUCCCAGCUUGGUAUGCGUCAGAAUGACUUCCUCCUGCUUCAACACAUCCACCGCCCCCACCACCCCUCAUUUUUAUUUCCCACCUCUCUGGUUUAUCAAGAUCACCUCGUGCUUUGAGGUGGCCCCCUGAACUUAAAGUGGGCAGAGGACAUGGGAUUCUAUUAAAUCUCCCUCCGACAUUCACCCGGCGAGGAGUAACAGGCCGGCACCCGUACUGUCGUUCCUACCCUGUCUCUGGAAGCAAUUCAAGGGGGUGGCAGGUCAGGGGAGGCUGACGGCAGGAGUAGCAUGACAGAGACGUUACCUGCUUC
This 1425-nucleotide long non-coding RNA is filed under the name Pogona vitticeps (central bearded dragon). RNAcentral's name for it is "lncRNA (ENSPVIG00000008187.1)". The record is from RNAcentral. Lineage: Eukaryota; Metazoa; Chordata; Lepidosauria; Squamata; Agamidae.